UAUAUAAACAACUGUGAAAAUCGAACUUUUAACAAAUCGUUUAAAACGUUUAAACUGUUGAUACUAUUAGCGCUAUGAAUUUUUUAAAGAAUUUCCUUUUCGUCGUGGUGAUUUUAGCCAUUUCCAUGACUACUAUUCAGGCUGAACCUGCUAAAGGUGACAAGGGCUCCAUCAAAAGGUCAAAUACAAUUUAAAUGGAUAAACAUAGAAAACCAACUUACAAUUUAUGGAAUGUUAUGAAUAUGGCGAUUUAAAACAUGUUUUGAAUUAUGUAUUUUUAAGCAAAAUAAAUUUUUAACAUUAUUGCAUAACAAA
Molecule: long non-coding RNA, 315 nt
Organism: Calliphora vicina (urban bluebottle blowfly)
Lineage: Eukaryota; Metazoa; Arthropoda; Insecta; Diptera; Calliphoridae
Exons: 2
Source: RefSeq, a predicted model, not a curated record